Silurus meridionalis is the source of this 506-nucleotide long non-coding RNA. RefSeq lists it as uncharacterized. The transcript has 3 exons. The record is from RefSeq and is a predicted model, not a curated record. Lineage: Eukaryota; Metazoa; Chordata; Actinopteri; Siluriformes; Siluridae.
UCAAUGAGAUUACAAUAAAGAAAGAGAAGAGGAGGAAUCAGGACAGGAAGUGACAUCAGCUUCUAUUAUCAAGGCAUUUAAGAGAAGCACCCAUUUUGGUCAGGUUUAAAACGAGGAAAAGGGUUGUUACGUCACAGGCGAUGUGGGCGUGGCUAAAUAACGCUGAUGUGAAGCGCAAUCCAGAGAUUCAUCGUGUUUCAUCUCUCUCGAACAGACAUGGAUCGCUCUCCUUAUGCCCCUGACAGCCCCACGGAGCCCACAGCGCCUUCUACAGCACCAUGCACAACACCCUGCACCACCACCACGUCUUGCACCAUGGAGGUCUCUGAAGCCCAGGUUUUCUGUAAUGAUGACCUCCCAGAGCUGGAGUGUGCCGUGUGUUUCAGUCAGUUCAACAACGUCUUCAACACACCCAAAGUGCUGCAAUGUGGCCACACCUUCUGCCUGGAGUGCCUCGCACGCAUCAACAUAAAAUCCUCUCAGCCCGACAGCCUGCAGUGCCCUCU